UACGUAGGACCCAAGCGUUAUCCGGAGUGACUGGGCGUAAAGAGUUGCGUAGGUGGUUUGUAAAGUGAAUAGUGAAAUCUGGCGGCUCAACCGUACAGGCUAUUAUUCAAACUCACAAACUCGAGAAUGGUAGAGGUAACUGGAAUUUCUUGUGUAGGAGUGAAAUCCGUAGAUAUAAGAAGGAACACCAAUGGCGUAGGCAGGUUACUGGACCAUUUCUGACACUGAGGCACGAAAGCGUGGGGAGCGAACCGG
Molecule: ribosomal RNA, 255 nt
Filed under: uncultured bacterium
Lineage: Bacteria
Description: partial 16S ribosomal RNA
Rfam family: Bacterial small subunit ribosomal RNA
Source: RNAcentral